GAUGAACGCUGGCGGCGUGCCUAAUACAUGCAAGUAGAACGCUGAAGGAAGGAGCUUGCUCUUUCCGGAUGAGUUGCGAACGGGGGAGUAACGCGUAGGUAACCUGUCUGGUAGCGGGGGAUAACUAGUGGAAACGCUAGCUAAUACCGCAUAACAGUAGAUGUUGCAUGAUAUCUACAUAAAAGGUGCAAUUGCACCACUACCAGAUGGACCUGCGUUGUAUUAGCUAGUUGGUGAGGUAACGGCUCACCAAGGCGGCGAUACAUAGCCGACCUGAGAGGGUGAUCGGCCACACUGGGACUGAGACACGGCCCAGACUCCUACGGGGGGCAGCAGUAGGGGAUCUUCGGCGAGGGACGGAAGUCUGACCGAGCAACGCCGCGUGAGUGAAGAAGGUUCUCGGAUCGUAAAGCUCUGUUGUGAGGGAAGAACGAGUGUGAGAGUGGAAAGUUCACACUGUGACGGUAUCUUACCAGAAAGGGACGGCUAACUACGUG
Molecule: ribosomal RNA, 497 nt
Filed under: uncultured bacterium
Lineage: Bacteria
Description: partial 16S ribosomal RNA
Rfam family: Bacterial small subunit ribosomal RNA
Source: RNAcentral